UACGUAGGGGGCAAGCGUUAUCCGGAUUUACUGGGUGUAAAGGGAGCGUAGACGGCAAGGCAAGUCUGAUGUGAAAGCCCAGGGCUUAACCCUGGGACUGCAUUGGAAACUGUCUGGCUCGAGUGCCGGAGAGGUAAGCGGAAUUCCUAGUGUAGCGGUGAAAUGCGUAGAUAUUAGGAAGAACACCAGUGGCGAAGGCGGCUUACUGGACGGUAACUGACGUUGAGGCUCGAAAGCGUGGGGAGCAAACAGG
This 253-nucleotide ribosomal RNA is filed under the name Fusicatenibacter saccharivorans. RNAcentral describes it as "partial 16S ribosomal RNA". It matches the Rfam family "Bacterial small subunit ribosomal RNA", at positions 524 to 776 of the family's 1533-position model. The record is from RNAcentral. Lineage: Bacteria; Bacillati; Bacillota; Clostridia; Lachnospirales; Lachnospiraceae. RNAcentral also lists the same sequence under 1 other name.